UACGUAGGGUGCGAGCGUUAAUCGGCCUUACUGGGCGUAAAGCGUACGCAGGCGGCUCUUCAAGUCAGAUGUGAAAGCCCCGGGCUUAACCUGGGAAUGGCGUUUGAAACUGGAGGGCUGGAGUGUGGCAGAGGGAGGUGGAAUUCCACGUGUAGCAGUGAAAUGCGUAGAGAUGUGGAGGAACACCGAUGGCGAAGGCAGCCUCCUGGGCCAACACUGACGCUCAUGCACGAAAGCGUGGGGAGCAAACAGG
RNAcentral lists this ribosomal RNA (253 nucleotides) under uncultured bacterium. Its description in RNAcentral is "partial 16S ribosomal RNA". It matches the Rfam family "Bacterial small subunit ribosomal RNA", at positions 524 to 776 of the family's 1533-position model. The record is from RNAcentral.